Molecule: RNA transcript, 1654 nt
Organism: Phyllostomus hastatus (greater spear-nosed bat)
Lineage: Eukaryota; Metazoa; Chordata; Mammalia; Chiroptera; Phyllostomidae
Gene: HNRNPDL
Gene name: heterogeneous nuclear ribonucleoprotein D like
Exons: 9
Source: RefSeq, a predicted model, not a curated record
AUGGAGGUCCCGCCCCGGCUUUCCCAUGUGCCGCCGCCAUUGUUCCCCUCCGCUCCCGCUACUUUAGCCUCCCGUACCCUCUCCCAUUGGCGGCCACGAGCGCCACGGCAGCUCGCCCCACUACUCCCUUCGCUUGCUCCCAGCUCCGCCCGACAGGGGGCGCGCCGAGCCCAGCGCCACGUCACCGCCCAGCAGCCCUCCCGAUUGGCGGGCGGGGCAGCUAUAAAGGGAGGGCGCAGGCGGCGCCCGGACCUCUUCCGCCGCCAUUUUAAACCCAGCUCCAUACAACGCUCUGCCGCCACUGCUGCCGCGACUCGAACCACGCGCCAGCACCUCCCGGCCGACAACUCCACCACCAUGGAGGACGUGAACGAGUACAGCAACAUAGAGGAAUUUGCAGAGGGAUCCAAGAUCAACGCGAGCAAGAAUCAGCAGGAUGACGGUAAAAUGUUUAUUGGAGGCUUGAGCUGGGAUACAAGCAAGAAAGAUCUGACUGAAUAUUUGUCUCGAUUUGGAGAAGUUGUGGACUGCACAAUUAAAACAGAUCCAGUCACCGGAAGAUCAAGAGGAUUUGGAUUUGUGCUUUUCAAAGAUGCUGCUAGUGUUGAUAAGGUUUUGGAACUGAAGGAACACAAACUGGAUGGCAAAUUGAUAGACCCUAAAAGGGCCAAAGCUUUAAAAGGGAAGGAACCCCCCAAAAAGGUUUUUGUGGGUGGAUUGAGCCCAGAUACUUCAGAAGAACAAAUUAAAGAAUAUUUUGGAGCCUUUGGUGAGAUUGAAAAUAUUGAACUUCCCAUGGAUACAAAAACAAAUGAAAGAAGAGGUUUUUGUUUUAUCACAUACACAGAUGAGGAGCCUGUAAAGAAAUUGUUAGAAAGCAGAUAUCAUCAAAUUGGUUCUGGGAAGUGUGAAAUCAAAGUUGCCCAACCCAAAGAGGUAUAUAGACAGCAACAGCAACAACAAAAAGGAGGAAGAGGUGCUGCAGCUGGUGGAAGAGGUGGUGCUAGGGGUCGUGGCCGAGGUCAGGGCCAAAACUGGAACCAAGGAUUUAAUAACUAUUAUGAUCAAGGAUAUGGAAAUUACAAUAGUGCCUAUGGUGGUGAUCAAAACUAUAGUGGCUAUGGCGGCUAUGAUUAUACUGGGUAUAACUAUGGGAACUAUGGAUAUGGACAGGGAUAUGCAGACUACAGUGGCCAACAGAGCACUUAUGGCAAGGCAUCUCGAGGGGGUGGCAAUCACCAAAACAAUUAUCAGCCAUACUAAAGGAGGGCAUUGGAGAAAACAGCGGGAACUUCAUUGCAGGCCGUGUGUCACCCUGACCACGUCUAUCUCUGGGGGUCGCACGUUGCGGGCAGAGCGCAAGGCAUACACCAGAAAACGCUGUCCUGUGGAGGAGAUUGCUAAAGUAAUCCAUCUUGCAGGACAACAGUGAAGAUUGAUCUUCUGUUGCUCUAAGAUGAUUAUUUUGUAAAAGACUUUCUAGUGUACAAGACACAACUCUGUCCAACUGUAUAUAGCCGCCAAUUAGUUUUCUUUGUUUUUACUUUGUCUUUUGCUAUCUGUGUUAUGAUUCAAUGUGGAUUUGUGUUUAUACAAAUUUUACUUGUAUAAUUUCAUGUUAAACCUCAAAUAAAUGCUUCCUUAUGUGAUUGUU